Molecule: long non-coding RNA, 4202 nt
Organism: Oreochromis aureus
Lineage: Eukaryota; Metazoa; Chordata; Actinopteri; Cichliformes; Cichlidae
Source: Ensembl
AUAAAUAAUAACAAGAAGAAGAAGAAAAAGAAGAAGCACCUGAAAAAAAUGUGGGCGGGGCUAUUCAUUACCGGAGUUUUUGAAUAACUGGAAAAGAUUACAAACGUGUACGUCUUUACCUGAGUAACAUCGACAGAGUAACUCGCACUUUUUAAUUUAUUUAUUUAAUUAUUUGAGUCGAAGGAGGAAAUGCGAGAUUGGAUUUAACAUGGGAGCGCCAGCAGCAGCUGGGAUAAGUGAUGGAUGGAGCGAGUUUUACUGCGGUCCGGGAUUUUCCAAACAGGGGGCUGGAAAGGAAUUGCACUGGAGCACAGCAGGGGAAAACUCCAACAGCUAAAGUUGCUGUAAAAUGUUUUGAAUAGUUCAUAACAUUUUCAGUGGUCAUUGAAAACAAAGGCAAGCUCAAUUUCCCUUGAUGGAGGAAUUUGGAUAUACCACUUAACAAAAAAAAUCAAGAAGUGAAACUUCGAGUGGAAGUGAAAGCACAGGAGAAAAAGAAGACGCAGAAGUUAGAUCGUAACCUAAUGAUCCAGAAGAAACCCAUGUCUCAGCCUCUAAACCAGUGUUUUAGAAGUUCAUCCCUAAAUUCUCAGUAAGCUUGUUUUUCAACUCUUGUAUAUCAUUGGAUGUUCAUACCUGGGUGCAUAACAGCCACUAGAACAAGAUGUACAGUCCAACACGGAAUAGAACAGCAAGAGCUGAACUAACUUCAGUUCAGGCAGCACAAGAUGCCCUUCGACCAACACAAGAUGCCGUUCAGCCCCUUCGACCAACACAAGAUGCUGUUCAGCCCCCUCGGCCAACACAAGAUGCCGUACAGUUCUUUCGACCAACACAAGAUGCCGUACGGCCUCCGCGGCCAACACAAGAUGCCGUACAGUUCUUUCGACCAACACAAGAUGCCGUACAGUUCUUUCGACCAACACAAGAUGCCGUACAGUUCUUUCGACCAACACAAGAUGCCGUACGGCCCCCGCGGCCAACACAAGAUGCCGUACGGCCCCCGCGGCCAACACAAGAUGCCGUACGGCCCCCGCGGCCAACACAAGAUGCCGUACGGCCCCCUCGGCCAACACAAGAUGCCGUUCGGUUCCUUCGACCAACACAAGAUGCCGUUCGGUUCCUUCGACCAACACAAGAUCCCGUUCAGGCCCUUCGACCAACACAAGAUGCCGUUAGGGCUUUUCAGCCAAGACAAGAUGCCGUUCGGUUCCUUCGACCAACACAAGAUGGCCUUCAGGCCCUUCAAACAACACAAGAUGCCCUUCAGGUAAAACAAGACGCCCUCCGGGCAACACAAGACGCCCUCCGGGCAACACAAGACGCCCUCCGGGCAACACAAGAUACCUUUCGGGCAAAACGAGAUGACCUUCGGGUCCUUCAGGCAACACAAGAUAACCUUCGGCUCCUUCAGGUAACACAAGAUGACCUUCGGGCAAAACAAGACGCCCUUCGGGUCCUUCAGGUAAAACAAGAUGCCCUUCAGGCAAAACAAGAUGCCCUUUAUGCAAAACAAAAUGCCAUUCAUGCAAAGCAAGAUGCACUUCGGGCCCUUGAGGCAAAACAACAUGCCAUUCAGGUCCUUCAGGCAAAACAAGAAGCCCUUCGGGCAACACAAGAUGCCCUUCAGGCGAAACAAGAUUCUCUUCGGGCAACACAAGAUGCCCUUCAGGCAAAAGAAGGUGCCCUUCGGGCAACACAACAUGCCCUUCAGGCAGCACAAGAUGCCCUUCGGGCAACAGAACAUGCCCUUCAGGCAACACAAGAUGCCCUUGGGUCAAGACUAGAUAUCCGUCAGCCUCUUCAGGCAACACGAGAUGGUCUUAAUGACACUUGUUCACCUUUUGUUGACGAAUCAGCAGCAGGUAGCAGUUCUGACUAUGAAGAAAUCAUGAAACGCAUUAAUAUGGAGUCUGAAACUGUGUUGGAUGAUGAUUAAAUAAACUUUAAUGAAAAUCUGCUCCACUCUCAGCUUAUCCCCUCUUUCACUUCUCCAGUAAUUUUAGUGGGCCCUGGUGGACACCCUGCCUCUUGCCUUGUUCUCACAGGAUGGUCUCACUGAGCAAAAUACCCUGUGCAAACAACUUCACACAAGUAAACAGCUCACCUGAUAUGCUGUUAAAGGUCUUUACGCCUGUUAUUAAUGAUGAUUUUUAAUGAUGAAACCUGCCUGUUCCAGUGCUCAUGUCCAGGUCUGUACCAGUGCAGUGUGACCGGCCUGGUGUUUUUAAUGCAGGGAGAAGGAGACGUGGUUUACAGGACUGUCCCUUGGAACAGGAGGCUGCUGACCCAACACCACAAGAAGCCUGCAGGACCCCUGUUUGACAUUAAAUGCCAGCAGCAGUCUGUGUGUCAGCUUCAUCUCCCACACUGAGGUCAUCUCCACAGGUGGAGGUCAGUUCUUGCAGGUCGCUCAUGUGAAUGACGAGGGCAUCGAGUUUAUUAACUCUCACCUCAGGAUGAAGACUCUCCUCCUGACCCAGUCCAAGCUUUGGUUCUGCUCUUCUACAAACCCCUUGUUGAUCCUGAUCUCAGAUCUUUCCUCAGUGUGUUGUUGCUUCCAAGGAACAUCGUGAUCCGUGAUUUACAGAAAACCAGGAGGAAACUAAAUGGAGAUGAGAGGUACAUAGACACUUCUCCUCACUGCAAACUGCAUCCAAAGCAGGUUUACACUCUGUCCACUGUUCCUGAGGAUGAUCUGAUUGAAGUUCAACCAAAAGAGAGAGAUUUUUAUGAUAAGUACCACGACAGUUACUUUACGACAUUCCAGGUGAUUUUAAGAAGAAUCCUCACAGAUGUUAACCUCAGUCUGAAAGAAAAGAGCAGCUCCACAUGUGUUUGGGAAAGAGAUGUCUUUUCUCCCCUACAGUGGGAACUUUGAAUCGUCCUCCUUCUGAGAGGCUGGCAAACACACGAAGCUGCUUCGUUGAAGGGAUAUCAGGACCUGUUCUCAGCAGCCUGAUCGACAAACUGCUGGAGAAAACAGUGAUAACUGAUGCAGAAAGGGAGGAAGCAGACAGGAUGAAAAACAAAAGGGAAAAAGCACGUUUUGUUAUUGACACUGUGAGGAGUAAAGGUGAAGCUGCCAGUUCAGAGUUAACUUUCUCCAUGAGAAUGAUCACAUCCUCUGUCAGCACCUCAGGUUAAACUGAAUGGAUAUUUUAUGGAUCAUAAUGUGUUUCUUUAAUGACGCCAAAGUCAUUUUUAUCUUUCUUUGACAACUGAAGUGAGUGAAGAAAGACAUUUUUUAAAUGUUAUUCUGAAACCAUAUAAUUUAAACUUUUCAUCAAAUUUUGCAGCUGCAUUUAUUUUUAUUCUGCACUUUGUCACAGACGUUAGAGUUCUUCUGUUAAGUUAUUGUGACUGUGUGAACCAAAUCUGACAGGUGAAUAUAAUUAUUUGAAAAAAGUUGAAUUACAUUCAAUUUUGAUUUGUUUCAAACAAGUUCUAUAAAAUUAAAAAUGUUUAUAAAUUGUUCUUUACUGCAGAUCUCACAUGUUAUUUAUGGAAGGAAGCACGAAGUUCUCUGUAUGUUUCUGAUUUAAAAAUCCACAAACGCACUUUUUAUAAAGACAGCUGAGUGGUGACAGUGAUUUCAACAUCCUAGUCUGAGUUUAAAUAAAGGGAAACAAACACUAAAGUGUCUUUAAUCUGUGUUUGAACCUGUUUCAACAAAUCUGUCAGAAACCAAACAGCUAAACACAUUUACCUUUAAAUUCCUGCUUUGUUUUGAAAUUAUGUAAUAUUGUGAGUUAGCUUUUAGUCUGCUCUUUAGGGUGUUUUUCAGCAUUAUUUAUUCUCACUUUUAUUUUUAGAUUUUCAGUUUCUUGUUUACUUUAUUAAAUAUAAUAACUUGUCCCCAUGGUUAUUUAACUUGUUUAAAGUAAAGUGAAACAAUGUUUUGCUUUAAGACGGCCUUUAAUAACAUAUCAAACUAAUUUACUUGAAAGUGUCUUAAAAGAUCAUUUCCCUUAAACUGUUUGUACCUUCAUCAGCCAGCAGGGGGAGGCAUUUGCUUAAUAAGAGUGCUCUUAAACUCACUGCAGGUGAAACCUGAAGAAGCCACGGUUUGAUAUCCUGCACAAAGGAAACCAAAAGUAGGACAAUCACAGAAUCUGUGCUCACAUCAUUAGACAGCUAAAUUUCACCCUAAGUUAGUGUCUGUAUGUGUGAAAUAUAAUAAUAAAUUAUUCUACAGCUGC